CCGGGCGUAGCGCAGAGGCAGGCGCACCGCCUUGCCAAGGCGAAUCACGCCGGUUCGAAUCCGGCCGUCCGGG
This is a transfer RNA of 73 nucleotides. It matches the Rfam family "tRNA". From Rfam's summary of the family: Transfer RNA (tRNA) molecules are approximately 80 nucleotides in length. Their secondary structure includes four short double-helical elements and three loops (D, anti-codon, and T loops). The record is from Rfam.